RNAcentral lists this ribosomal RNA (281 nucleotides) under Aeromonas sp. SrichE-2G. RNAcentral's name for it is "partial 23S ribosomal RNA". It matches the Rfam family "Bacterial large subunit ribosomal RNA", at positions 1432 to 1715 of the family's 2925-position model. Lineage: Bacteria; Pseudomonadati; Pseudomonadota; Gammaproteobacteria; Aeromonadales; Aeromonadaceae. The record is from RNAcentral.
AAUAUUCCUGCACGACUUGUAAUUGCGAUGGGGGGACGGAGAAGGCUAGGUGGGCCAGGCGACGGUUGUCCUGGUGAAAGUGCGUAGGUGGUGUUUCUAGGCAAAUCCGGAGACACAACACUGAGACACGAGACGAACGCACCACGGUGCGGAAGCCAUUGAUGCCCUGCUUCCAGGAAAAGCCUCUAAGCUUCAGAUUACAAGUCAUCGUACCCCAAACCGACACAGGUGGUCGGGUAGAGAAUACCAAGGCGCUUGAGAGAACUCGGGUGAAGGAACUA